RNAcentral lists this long non-coding RNA (812 nucleotides) under Brassica rapa (field mustard). RNAcentral's name for it is "long non-coding RNA (BRAP_LNC008346)". Lineage: Eukaryota; Viridiplantae; Streptophyta; Magnoliopsida; Brassicales; Brassicaceae. The record is from RNAcentral.
UUUGAAAGAAUCCGUUUUAACCUCCUCAAAGGCUGGAUUUCUCCUCAGCCAGCAGGCUUCCUCUUCCACCACCAAUCCACAAAGUAAACUCUUUCUUUUUUUUUUUUUUUUUUUUUUUUUAUAAUAUGGAUCUUGCUUGUUUCUUUUUUUUUUUUUUUAUAAGUGGAUGGUAUUGAGGGGCCCGGAUUCAAGAUAGACAGAUGAAGAAGUGUUUAGAAGAAAAUGGAAGAUGAGAAGAUGGAUCGAGAUAGAGAAUACCAGAAGAGUGGCUCUGAUACCACUUGAAGGACCCUAAGAUCGGAUUGCCCUCGACUGGAUUCGUUUGGAUAUGAACUCCGGAAAGGAGAACUGAUGGAACGUUGGGUCGCACAAGGGUUGCGGAUGUUCCCUUGAUAUUCCCGACUUCAAUGGCGCUUGAUAUGACUCACAAGUCCGCCAAGGAAGAUCUCGAACUGGUUGCUUGAUAUGACUCACAAGACCAACUAGUUGAGAAGUGAAUUGCUCGGAUAUGACUCACCAAGACAAUCGAAAACAAGUUCUAAAGAGAACAGAGAGUUUAAACUCAGAAACUUAAUCCAAAAUGAUCUGAUUUUAUUCAUGGAAUGAAACACUUAUUUAUAGUACAAGUAGGAGACAAAGGGGCUACUUGACUAGAAGUUUGAAAGACAAAUAAAAUUAAAGACAUUUGACUAGAAUUUUGAAAGACAAAGAAGAAAGACUCUUCAAUUUGCGGACUGGUCAAAGUGACCCUUCGGCUGGUUGAACCGCGGCCAAGAGCAGGACGGUCGCGGGCCGGUCCGUCUGUUCCGUCU